This is a long non-coding RNA of Theobroma umbraticum, 696 nucleotides long. RefSeq lists it as uncharacterized. The record is from RefSeq and is a predicted model, not a curated record. NCBI's taxonomy places the organism in Eukaryota, Viridiplantae, Streptophyta, Magnoliopsida, Malvales, Malvaceae.
GCUAUAUAUCCACAUGGUUCAUCUAGUUAUCAUACAUAGUUGCUUUCCCCUACAAAAACCAAGUGCAUGGGAAGUCAUUUUCCUGCAAAAAAACACUCAAAAUGUAAUAAGGACAUCACAAGGAAAUUGAUGGCAGUUAGCAAUGGAAUCCGGACUCUCCAGCUCUGAGGGGGACCAGCCAGAGCCUCUGCUCUCCAAGCACAACAAAGUGUCAGAAUCUCCAAAAGCAAAAGCGUUUAGUGAAUAAGUCUUCCCAUGCGUGGCUCGCUUGGCUUGCAAAUGUGGAUGAAAUGGGCUGGCUGGCCAUGAUUUGCCUGAGCAAAGGGUGGAGAUUUUUCAAUUGAUCUUAUUUCUCUCUCUCUCUCUCUCUCCAUUGAAUAUUCCCAUUUCAAUUUAAUUAAUAUGAAUUAAUUUGGCAAUCCAAUAUUAAUAAAAGUUCAGUGUUAGACAAACCUUCAAGCUCUCUAGUUUUAACAACGAAUUAGCUAGGAAAGAUGAAUAUAUGUCUGUCAAGUCAACAUACAAUGAACCAAACAUUGAUAUCGAAUCAUUGAAAAUAGGCUCACGAGUGCUUUUAACAAGAUUUCGAUUAGAUAAGUUAGAUGGCUAUGAUUUUCUCCACUGAUCUCCAACUUUUUGGCCGUCUUUAAUAUACUAAUUAAUUAUAGGUAAAAAGAAAAGAAAAGAAAAAGUAUA